GUAGACGACACGGUCGAUAGGCUACAGAUGUAAAGACAGUAAUGUCAAAGUCGAGUAGUACUAAUUACCCGAAAGCUUACCUUU
This 84-nucleotide ribosomal RNA is filed under the name Cytophagales bacterium. RNAcentral describes it as "partial 23S ribosomal RNA". It matches the Rfam family "Bacterial large subunit ribosomal RNA", at positions 2840 to 2925 of the family's 2925-position model. Lineage: Bacteria; Pseudomonadati; Bacteroidota; Cytophagia; Cytophagales. The record is from RNAcentral.